UACAGAGGGUGCAAGCGUUAAUCGGAGUUACUGGGCGUAAAGGGUGCGUAGGCGGCUUUCUAAGUCUGAUGUGAAAUCCUGGGGCUCAACCCUGGAACUGCAUUGGAUACUGGGAGGCUAGAGUACUGGAGAGGAAACUGGAAUUUACGGUGUAGCAGUGAAAUGCGUAGAGAUCGUAAGGAAGACCAGUGGCGAAGGCGAGUUUCUGGACAGUUACUGACGCUGAGGCACGAAGGCCAGGGGAGCAAACGGG
RNAcentral lists this ribosomal RNA (253 nucleotides) under uncultured bacterium. RNAcentral's name for it is "partial 16S ribosomal RNA". It matches the Rfam family "Bacterial small subunit ribosomal RNA", at positions 524 to 776 of the family's 1533-position model. The record is from RNAcentral.